This 253-nucleotide ribosomal RNA is filed under the name uncultured bacterium. RNAcentral's name for it is "partial 16S ribosomal RNA". It matches the Rfam family "Bacterial small subunit ribosomal RNA", at positions 524 to 776 of the family's 1533-position model. The record is from RNAcentral.
UACAGAGGUCUCAAGCGUUGUUCGGAUUCAUUGGGCGUAAAGGGUGCGUAGGCGGCGCGGUAAGUCGGGUGUGAAAUCUCGGGGCUUAACUCCGAAACUGCAUUCGAUACUGCCGUGCUUGAGGACUGGAGAGGAGACUGGAAUUUACGGUGUAGCGGUGAAAUGCGUAGAGAUCGGGAAGAACAUCAGUGGCGAAGGCGGCCUGCUGGGCUGUUGCUGACGCUGAGGCGCGACAGCGUGGGGAGCAAACAGG